This is a long non-coding RNA of Rhododendron vialii, 482 nucleotides long. RefSeq lists it as uncharacterized. The record is from RefSeq and is a predicted model, not a curated record. NCBI's taxonomy places the organism in Eukaryota, Viridiplantae, Streptophyta, Magnoliopsida, Ericales, Ericaceae. The transcript is spliced from 2 exons.
CUUUAUUGCUUAAGGAGGAAUCGUAAGUAUGUUGAGUCGGGGUUUCGCAACUAGGAGAACAUGGUCACAAGAAAUGUAGAGUGUAAUGCACACAAUUUUAUGAUUUUAUCGAUCUGAUCAACUUUCCGGACCCACGUCAUUCGACAUUGAAGUAGGGCUCGUUUCGGAUAACGAUGCGUAGUUUACUGCUUCAACUACAAGUUUGUCUAAGCAUUUUCGAGUCGUGUGAUUUUGACGCUUUAGUUAUUGGGGCUUGUAAGCGUGAGAGAUCGGGCCAGAAAUAAUUUAAGAAUCUUGCAGAAUAGCAUGACGACAGUAAGAUAAGACGAGAUAGAAACAAUCAAGACAGGUCCUUUUCCUUGAAUGGUUUAGGCAGUCUGGGAUGCUAUUCCACAGCGGAAAUUAUUAAAGUAGAUUGUGGUCAAUUACGUCAAGUUUUUUGCCUUUUUCCUUUAUAUAAGAAGGUAAAAAAUGAGGUGUCU